This is a long non-coding RNA of Talpa occidentalis (Iberian mole), 552 nucleotides long. RefSeq lists it as uncharacterized. The transcript has 4 exons. NCBI's taxonomy places the organism in Eukaryota, Metazoa, Chordata, Mammalia, Eulipotyphla, Talpidae. The record is from RefSeq and is a predicted model, not a curated record.
CCAAGUGAUGAUCAUGUAAAAAGGUGCAGUCACCAUUGUUUUUGCAUGACCAAAGCACCCAUCUUCCUCAACUGUAGUCCAUUGUUCUCCCCACCCUGCUUUCUACCCACUCCUUUCUUGGAUGCCUCAUAUCUAUGGAUUUGGGAUCCUGUAUCUCUCCUAUUGGGACCAAAAUGCUUUGGAUGAUGAUCCAACCACAUAUCUAUAAAGAACAUAGCCAUGCUACCAUGAAGUGUAGCUCUGAAGUUCCAGAGGAUGAUGGAUUUUCCCUGGAGUUGGAAAGUUUGCUGCAAGUGGCACUCAGGCCAGCCAGCAGCAAUCCUGCUCAUUUGCCCCAGAAGUGGCACCACAACACGGGAAGAGCAUUGCAUAUUUUCUGCCCUGCUGCUUGCUGACAGAGGCUUAACAGUACAGAUGUGGAACAGCCUUGGAAAUCAGCCAAUGUAAAUGAACGGAAACACUCAUCGUUUGCCCACAUUGCACCACUGACCCGGGCGUUGAACGGAAUCCAGGUCUGAUUUUACUUCCUCUGGCCUUUCACUAAAUAUUAAA